This 2434-nucleotide ribosomal RNA is filed under the name Escherichia coli. Its description in RNAcentral is "partial 23S ribosomal RNA". It matches the Rfam family "Bacterial large subunit ribosomal RNA", at positions 440 to 2854 of the family's 2925-position model. The record is from RNAcentral. Lineage: Bacteria; Pseudomonadati; Pseudomonadota; Gammaproteobacteria; Enterobacterales; Enterobacteriaceae.
GAAUAUGGGGGGACCAUCCUCCAAGGCUAAAUACUCCUGACUGACCGAUAGUGAACCAGUACCGUGAGGGAAAGGCGAAAAGAACCCCGGCGAGGGGAGUGAAAAAGAACCUGAAACCGUGUACGUACAAGCAGUGGGAGCCUCUUUAUGGGGUGACUGCGUACCUUUUGUAUAAUGGGUCAGCGACUUAUAUUCUGUAGCAAGGUUAACCGAAUAGGGGAGCCGAAGGGAAACCGAGUCUUAACUGGGCGUUAAGUUGCAGGGUAUAGACCCGAAACCCGGUGAUCUAGCCAUGGGCAGGUUGAAGGUUGGGUAACACUAACUGGAGGACCGAACCGACUAAUGUUGAAAAAUUAGCGGAUGACUUGUGGCUGGGGGUGAAAGGCCAAUCAAACCGGGAGAUAGCUGGUUCUCCCCGAAAGCUAUUUAGGUAGCGCCUCGUGAAUUCAUCUCCGGGGGUAGAGCACUGUUUCGGCAAGGGGGUCAUCCCGACUUACCAACCCGAUGCAAACUGCGAAUACCGGAGAAUGUUAUCACGGGAGACACACGGCGGGUGCUAACGUCCGUCGUGAAGAGGGAAACAACCCAGACCGCCAGCUAAGGUCCCAAAGUCAUGGUUAAGUGGGAAACGAUGUGGGAAGGCCCAGACAGCCAGGAUGUUGGCUUAGAAGCAGCCAUCAUUUAAAGAAAGCGUAAUAGCUCACUGGUCGAGUCGGCCUGCGCGGAAGAUGUAACGGGGCUAAACCAUGCACCGAAGCUGCGGCAGCGACACUAUGUGUUGUUGGGUAGGGGAGCGUUCUGUAAGCCUGCGAAGGUGUACUGUGAGGUAUGCUGGAGGUAUCAGAAGUGCGAAUGCUGACAUAAGUAACGAUAAAGCGGGUGAAAAGCCCGCUCGCCGGAAGACCAAGGGUUCCUGUCCAACGUUAAUCGGGGCAGGGUGAGUCGACCCCUAAGGCGAGGCCGAAAGGCGUAGUCGAUGGGAAACAGGUUAAUAUUCCUGUACUUGGUGUUACUGCGAAGGGGGGACGGAGAAGGCUAUGUUGGCCGGGCGACGGUUGUCCCGGUUUAAGCGUGUAGGCUGGUUUUCCAGGCAAAUCCGGAAAAUCAAGGCUGAGGCGUGAUGACGAGGCACUACGGUGCUGAAGCAACAAAUGCCCUGCUUCCAGGAAAAGCCUCUAAGCAUCAGGUAACAUCAAAUCGUACCCCAAACCGACACAGGUGGUCAGGUAGAGAAUACCAAGGCGCUUGAGAGAACUCGGGUGAAGGAACUAGGCAAAAUGGUGCCGUAACUUCGGGAGAAGGCACGCUGAUAUGUAGGUGAAGCGACUUGCUCGUGGAGCUGAAAUCAGUCGAAGAUACCAGCUGGCUGCAACUGUUUAUUAAAAACACAGCACUGUGCAAACACGAAAGUGGACGUAUACGGUGUGACGCCUGCCCGGUGCCGGAAGGUUAAUUGAUGGGGUUAGCGGUAACGCGAAGCUCUUGAUCGAAGCCCCGGUAAACGGCGGCCGUAACUAUAACGGUCCUAAGGUAGCGAAAUUCCUUGUCGGGUAAGUUCCGACCUGCACGAAUGGCGUAAUGAUGGCCAGGCUGUCUCCACCCGAGACUCAGUGAAAUUGAACUCGCUGUGAAGAUGCAGUGUACCCGCGGCAAGACGGAAAGACCCCGUGAACCUUUACUAUAGCUUGACACUGAACAUUGAGCCUUGAUGUGUAGGAUAGGUGGGAGGCUUUGAAGUGUGGACGCCAGUCUGCAUGGAGCCGACCUUGAAAUACCACCCUUUAAUGUUUGAUGUUCUAACGUUGGCCCCUGAUCGGGGUUGCGGACAGUGUCUGGUGGGUAGUUUGACUGGGGCGGUCUCCUCCUAAAGAGUAACGGAGGAGCACGAAGGUUGGCUAAUCCUGGUCGGACAUCAGGAGGUUAGUGCAAUGGCAUAAGCCAGCUUGACUGCGAGCGUGACGGCGCGAGCAGGUGCGAAAGCAGGUCAUAGUGAUCCGGUGGUUCUGAAUGGAAGGGCCAUCGCUCAACGGAUAAAAGGUACUCCGGGGAUAACAGGCUGAUACCGCCCAAGAGUUCAUAUCGACGGCGGUGUUUGGCACCUCGAUGUCGGCUCAUCACAUCCUGGGGCUGAAGUAGGUCCCAAGGGUAUGGCUGUUCGCCAUUUAAAGUGGUACGCGAGCUGGGUUUAGAACGUCGUGAGACAGUUCGGUCCCUAUCUGCCGUGGGCGCUGGAGAACUGAGGGGGGCUGCUCCUAGUACGAGAGGACCGGAGUGGACGCAUCACUGGUGUUCGGGUUGUCAUGCCAAUGGCACUGCCCGGUAGCUAAAUGCGGAAGAGAUAAGUGCUGAAAGCAUCUAAGCACGAAACUUGCCCCGAGAUGAGUUCUCCCUGACUCCUUGAGAGUCCUGAAGGAACGUUGAAGACGACGACGUU